CACGUAGUUAGCCGUGGCUUUCUGAUCAGGUACCGUCAAGAUGUGCACAGUUACUUACACAUUUGUUCUUCCCUGAUAACAGAGUUUUACGAUCCGAAGACCUUCAUCACUCACGCGGCGUUGCUCCGUCAGGCUUUCGCCCAUUGCGGAAGAUUCCCUACUGCUGCCUCCCGUAGGAUCUGGACCGUGUCUCAGUUCCAGUGUGGCCGAUCACCCUCUCAGGUCGGCUACGUAUCGUUGCCUUGGUAAGCCGUUACCUUACCAACUAGCUAAGUACGGCGCGGAUCCAUCUAUAAGUGACAGCAAAGCCGCCUUUCACUUAUUAGAACCAUGACGGUUCAAAUUAUGUUAAACCGGGUAUUAACGGUC
This 369-nucleotide ribosomal RNA is filed under the name uncultured Staphylococcus sp. RNAcentral's name for it is "partial 16S ribosomal RNA". Lineage: Bacteria; Bacillati; Bacillota; Bacilli; Caryophanales; Staphylococcaceae. The record is from RNAcentral.